AUAUUAGCCAGUGGCGGGAGGAGCGAUGGGCCAGCUUGGCGGCGCCGCCUGGGAGGUGGGGCGGAGUUCCUGGUUGGGGAGACAGCCUUUGACCUCGCCGGGACCGAGGAGGCUCCGGAGCGAUCGCUGCUGGUGAUGUUUUUUGUUCGUCCCCUCCGGCCGAAGGACGGCGGCACCGGCGGCUCUUCUCUGCCCCCUUCUCCGGGGAGAAGGCGACUCCCCCUCCGCUUUUAAAUGUGGCCCUUAUUAAGAGCCGGGGAUGCUCGCUCAGAUACCUGCCUGCCUACCUACCUACCUGCUGCGGCUGCUGCUGUGUGUUGUUUUUGUCCCAGAAGAGAAAGAGAGAAAUCCCUGGACCAGGCUCGGCGCUCGUAACUUUCUAAGGAUUUGAG
Pseudonaja textilis is the source of this 392-nucleotide non-coding RNA. NCBI's taxonomy places the organism in Eukaryota, Metazoa, Chordata, Lepidosauria, Squamata, Elapidae. The record is from RefSeq and is a predicted model, not a curated record.